Pezoporus flaviventris is the source of this 1442-nucleotide long non-coding RNA. RefSeq lists it as uncharacterized. The transcript is spliced from 2 exons. Lineage: Eukaryota; Metazoa; Chordata; Aves; Psittaciformes; Psittacidae. The record is from RefSeq and is a predicted model, not a curated record.
CUCCAAAUCCAGGGUAGCCAGUUCUGAGAGCUUCCAUAGAGGGCCCACGUUGUCCCUAGUCUGUCUUUUAUUCGCUAUGUACCUACAGAAUCCUUUCCUGUUAUCCCUAACAUCCCUAGCCAAGUUUAAUUCUAACUGGGCCUUAGCUUUCCUAACCUGGUCCCUAGCUUCCCGGACAACAUCCCUGUACUCUUCCCAGGCCACCUGUCCUUGCUUCCACCUUUUGUAAGCCUCUUUUUUCCUUCAAAUUUUCCUCAGGAGCUCCUUAUCCAUCCAAGGAGGUCUCCUGGCCCUCCUGCUGAGCUUCCUUCUAGUUGGGAUGCAACACUCCUGAUCUUGUAGCAGGUGAUCCUUGAAUAUCAACCAACAGUCUUGGGCCCACUGCCCUCUAGGGCUAUAUCCCAUGGAACCUUCCUAAGCAGGUUCCUGAAGAGGCCAAAGUCUGCUCUCUUGAAGUUCAGUGCAGUGAGCUUGCUGCACGCUCUUCUCACUGUCCUGAGAAUCUCAAAUUUGACCAUCUCGUGAUUGCUGCAUUCAAGGCUGCCCUGGAGCGUCACAUUUCCAACGAGCCCUUCCCUGUUGGUGAGCACGAGGUCAAGCAUGGCACCUCUCCUUGUCGGCUCCUCUAUUACUUGCAGAAGGAAGUUGUCUUCCACACAGUCGAGGAACAUACUGGAUUGCUUGUGCCGGGCCAUAAAAAAACCACCCUUUUGAUGCAGGAUCAUAAGCAGAACCCUAAAAGUGUAGUGAUGGAUCCAACAGCCCUGGGGAGAGCUGGCACUGCUGGAACCACCUGGUUUAUCUGACAUUUUCCUGGAGUUAAGUAAUGGUUUUCCAGAGUUAGAAAAUUCUCAAAUGGCAUCACUUUUUAUUUUGUUUUUUUUUUUCUCUAUUUUUUUCUUAUUCCCAAGGGCUUUUAUCACCAUCUGUGUGCAAAAUCUCCAGCAGGAAUCCGUAAUCUGGAGUGAUUUGGUCUAAUGUCAUGAGAAGGGUCUGCUCUGCACACCUUAGGAAGUGCAAAGAGGAAAAAGACAAGAAGAUGGAGCCCUCCUAAUUUCUCAGUCUUAUCAGAGCCACUGCCUCCUGUGCUGACAUAAGGAACACAACCCAUGUCCUUCACCUUUACAGGAUUCACAAUGAAGUGGCUGGUAAAAUGGGAGCAGCUGGUUCAGCUCUGCUUGAACGCUGGAUUUAAUGUGCUGAAACUACUUCCACUGGUGUGUGUGGCUGGGCAUGUGUUUUUGAUGCAAAAGCUUUAACUUUGGUGUGAUAUUUCACAUGUUAAAACACAUCUCUCAGCAUAGCUUUCCCCCCACCUCAAAAUGCUUUGACAAAGCAAAGUAAGUUUGUGUUAUUAUCAGCUUCCCUUGCCUCAUUUUUCUCUUCUUCUUGCUUCUCAUUAAUACACAAGUGGUAUUAAAUAAAUAAUAAUGAUGCCAGUA